Molecule: non-coding RNA, 357 nt
Filed under: Selenihalanaerobacter shriftii
Lineage: Bacteria; Bacillati; Bacillota; Clostridia; Halanaerobiales; Halobacteroidaceae
Description: Bacterial large subunit ribosomal RNA
Rfam family: Bacterial large subunit ribosomal RNA
Source: Rfam by way of RNAcentral
UCCAAGGGUUGGGCUGUUCGCCCAUUAAAGCGGUACGCGAGCUGGGUUCAGAACGUCGUGAGACAGUUCGGUCCCUAUCCGUCGUGGGCGUAGGAAACUUGAGAGAAGCUGUCCCUAGUACGAGAGGACCGGGAUGGAUGUACCUCUGGUGCACCAGUUGUCUUGCCAAAGGCAGAGCUGGGUAGCUAAGUACAGAGAAGAUAAGCGCUGAAAGCAUCUAAGCGCGAAGCAAAUCCCAAGAUAAGGUUUCCCAUAGAGUAAUUCUAGUAAGAUCCCUGAAAGACUAUCAGGUAGAUAGGCCAGAGGUGUACAGAUAGCAAUAUCUUUAGCUGACUGGUACUAAUAGAUCGAGGAUUU